UGGGGAAUAUUGCACAAUGGGCGCAAGCCUGAUGCAGCCAUGCCGCGUGUAUGAAGAAGGCCUUCGGGUUGUAAAGUACUUUCAGCGGGGAGGAAGGUGUUGAGGUUAAUAACCUCAGCAAUUGACGUUACCCGCAGAAGAAGCACCGGCUAACUCCGUGCCAGCAGCCGCGGUAAUACGGAGGGUGCAAGCGUUAAUCGGAAUUACUGGGCGUAAAGCGCACGCAGGCGGUCUGUCAAGUCGGAUGUGAAAUCCCCGGGCUCAACCUGGGAACUGCAUUCGAAACUGGCAGGCUAGAGUCUUGUAGAGGGGGGUAGAAUUCCAGGUGUAGCGGUGAAAUGCGUAGAGAUCUGGAGGAAUACCGGUGGCGAAGGCGGCCCCCUGGACAAAGACUGACUCUCAGGUGCGAAAGCGUGGGGAGCAAACA
Molecule: ribosomal RNA, 427 nt
Filed under: uncultured bacterium
Lineage: Bacteria
Description: partial 16S ribosomal RNA
Rfam family: Bacterial small subunit ribosomal RNA
Source: RNAcentral